GAUGAACGCUGGCGGCGUGCCUAAUACAUGCAAGUCGAGCGAACAGACGAGGAGCCUUCUCCUCUGACGUUAGCGGCGGACGGGUGAGUAACACGUAGAUAACCUACCUAUAAGACUGGGAUAACUUCGGGAAACCGGAUCUAAUACCGGAUAAUAUAUUGAACCUCAUGGUUCAAUAGUGAAAGACGGUUUUGCUGUCACUUAUAGAUGGAUCCGCGCCGCAUUAGCUAGUUGGUAAGGUAACGGCUUACCAAGGCAACGAUGCGUAGCCGACCUGAGAGGGUGAUCGGCCACACUGGAACUGAGACACGGUCCAGACUCCUACGGGAGGCAGCAGUAGGGAAUCUUCCGCAAUGGGCGAAAGCUUGACGGAGCAACGCCGCGUGAGUGAUGAAGGUCUUCGGAUCGUAAAACUCUGUUAUUAGGGAAGAACAAAUGUGUAAGUAACUAUGCACGUCUUGACGGUACCUAAACAGAAAGCCGCGGCUAACUACGUG
This 497-nucleotide ribosomal RNA is filed under the name uncultured bacterium. RNAcentral's name for it is "partial 16S ribosomal RNA". It matches the Rfam family "Bacterial small subunit ribosomal RNA", at positions 28 to 507 of the family's 1533-position model. The record is from RNAcentral.